Molecule: ribosomal RNA, 204 nt
Filed under: Triticum aestivum (bread wheat)
Lineage: Eukaryota; Viridiplantae; Streptophyta; Magnoliopsida; Poales; Poaceae
Description: partial small subunit ribosomal RNA
Source: RNAcentral
AUGCCCCUGAAGAUCAAGAUUUUCGUUUGGCAGCUUCUGAGAGAUCGUUUAUCAUCUUUGGGGACCGAGGUGCUGAAACGCCAUGGUCCGGGCAAUGGCCUUUGCCCCCUCUGCCAGGUCCCGGAAACAGGAACGCACAUUUUGUUCUCAUGCGUAGCAGCGCAGGAACUUUGGUGCUUUGUUCGUGAGGCUCUGGGACUUUAG